GUGGGGAAUAUUGGACAAUGGGCGCAAGCCUGAUCCAGCCAUGCCGCGUGAGUGAUGAAGGCCUUAGGGUUGUAAAGCUCUUUCACCGAUGAAGAUAAUGACGGUAGUCGGAGAAGAAGCCCCGGCUAACUUCGUGCCAGCAGCCGCGGUAAUACGAAGGGGGCUAGCGUUGUUCGGAAUUACUGGGCGUAAAGCGCACGUAGGCGGAUAUUUAAGUCAGGGGUGAAAUCCCAGAGCUCAACUCUGGAACUGCCUUUGAUACUGGGUAUCUCGAGUAUGGAAGAGGUGAGUGGAAUUCCGAGUGUAGAGGUGAAAUUCGUAGAUAUUCGGAGGAACACCAGUGGCGAAGGCGGCUCACUGGUCCAUUACUGACGCUGAGGUGCGAAAGCGUGGGGAGCAAACAGGAUUAGAUACCCUAGUAGUCC
RNAcentral lists this ribosomal RNA (425 nucleotides) under uncultured bacterium. RNAcentral describes it as "partial 16S ribosomal RNA". It matches the Rfam family "Bacterial small subunit ribosomal RNA", at positions 354 to 796 of the family's 1533-position model. The record is from RNAcentral.